UUUUUUCUUUGAAUUCCUAAAUGGGUCAUAACACAGUUUGUGAACUUCGGGUGUACACGUUCGAUUCUGUUGUCUGAAUUCGGUUCGGGAUGAACUCUC
Molecule: non-coding RNA, 99 nt
Filed under: Mucochytrium quahogii
Lineage: Eukaryota; Bigyra; Thraustochytrida; Thraustochytriidae
Source: RNAcentral